GUCGUAACAAGGUUUCCGUAGGUGAACCUGCGGAAGGAUCACUAACACGUAUCCAACGUUAAAACAACCCCGUGAACUUUCAGCUUGCUCCCGUAGCCCGUGACAGCAGCAAUCCCUGGUAAAUCAUUGUUGCCGGCUUUUGAGUCAGACCUCUGCCGAUAGUGAUUGCAUCUAGUGACCUGGCAUCAGGUAAUCAGUGUUCUGAAAGUGUCAUUAAGGAUGACAGUCACGAUCGCUGUAGGCCCACACGGCCGGCGACCGGGUCACGGCUCUGCCCCUUUAUCACCACUUAAUGCAUGACAGACGCGCCAGCGCUUAAUUGUGCGGCGACCAAAAACCGAACAACUGUUAACAAUGGAUAUCUUGGUUCUC
This 372-nucleotide unclassified non-coding RNA is filed under the name fungal sp. Its description in RNAcentral is "partial internal transcribed spacer region". The stretch from base 1 to 44 matches the Rfam family "Eukaryotic small subunit ribosomal RNA", at positions 1788 to 1831 of the family's 1831-position model. Lineage: Eukaryota; Fungi. The record is from RNAcentral.